CUUAGUGGAUGGCUUGGCUUGAUAACCGAUGAAGGACGUGGCAAGCUGCGAUAAGCCUCGGCGAGGUGCAUGCAGCCCUAGAACCGAGGAUGUCCGAAUAACUCCUUUUUAGGAGAGGGAACGCGGGGAAUUGAAACAUCUUAGUACCCGCAGGAAAAGAAAUCAAUAGAGAUUCUCUUAGUAAGGGCGACUGAAAAGAGAAGAGGGCAAACCGAAUUCCUUAUCGCAAGAUAGGGAAGAUGUGGGGUUUGGAUCUCUCUACUUCCAAAGGGAAUGAGUUGAAAUUCUCUGGAAAGAGAUGCCAAAGACGGUGAUAGCCCGGUAAACGAAUUCCCAGAGGAAGAUUGAGAGAAUUCCAGAGUAUUGUUGGUUGGAUAUCCAGCAAGAAGGCGGGAGACAUUAACUUCCAACUCUAAAUAUAAUUCAAGACCGAUAGCGAACUAGUACCGUGAGGGAAAGCUGAAAAGAAGGGGUAACACCCUAUGAAAAGAACCUGAAACUAAGUAGUACGGUAUCCGUUUUGAAAAACGGGGUAAGGAGUUUAUGUCUAUGGCGAGAUUAACCUUUUGAAAAGGGUAAUCGGAGCGAAAGCGAGUAUGAAAGUGCGAUUAGUCAUAGGCAUAAGACCCGAAGCCAGACGAUCUAUUCCAAGACAAGGUGAAGUGCAGCGAAAGCUGCAUGGAGGCCUGAACCGAUGCUAGCGUGCUAUCUGCUCGGAUGAUCUUGGAAUAGGGGUGAAAAAUAGUAUAUAUCUUCAGAUAGUUUAAAGAAAAUAUAAGAAGAGAUAUACUAUUCAGGGCCAAUCGUGUCUGGCAAUAGCUGGUUCCUUCCGAAUGAACCCUUUCUUUUAAAGAAUUAAAAGAAAUUUUAUAGAAAAAGAGAAAGGGGUCCGGAAAAUGAACCACAGUUCAGCCUGUUCCUUAUAGAUUAAUGUGUAAAGAUACUGAUUAGAUAGUAGGGGAGGAAACUCUUCGCUAUCUAGUCAAACUCAUAAGCGUUAAUCAUAACUGGAACAGAGUGAGGGUUGCCGGGGAAAGCUCGGUGCCCUAGAGGGGAACAACCCUUACUGGCAUUAAGGUCCCUAAAUGAUAACUAAGUGAUGAAAGACUAUAUUUUCUAAAACAGUGGGGAGGUAGGCUCAGAAGCAGCCAUCCUUUAAACCUUUUAUGGAUGAUUGAUUAAAAAGAAUUAAACAAAAAUAAGAAAUCCAUAAAAGGAAAGGCAGAGUGCGUAACAGCUCACCCACCUAGAAAAUAUGGUCUGAAAAUGGACGGGGCUAAGUUAUCUGCCGAUAUGCCAGAUUCCUUUUGGAAUGGUAGGAAGGCGUCUUGACGGGGCAGAAGUUUUUCUUUAAGGAAAAAUGGACCUGUCAAGAAUGAGAAUCUUACUGAAAGUAGCAGCAAAGUGGUGUGAGAAUCACCAUCGCCUUACGUGGGUAAGGGUUCCCUACCAAUGUCGAUCAGGUAGGGGUUAGUCUAUAUCCUAAGUACAUCCUUAAAAUAGAUGUACGAAGGAAAACUGGUUAAUAUUCCAGUACCACUAAGUUCUUAUCUAUCUAACUGGUUUGAGAUAGGUUAAUGCAAACCAAGCACAGAAGCUUCUGGAGUCUCGUAAUGAGGAGAAGGAAGUUAAUGUGUGAUGGGCCUUCGUAUGAAGGUUUAACCGAGUCUCAGACCCUAUGAAAAGUAGAUAGAAUGUCUUAGUGAUAGUACCCAGAACUGACACUGGUACCCACGCUGAGUAGGCGAAGGUGUGAUAGGAUAAUCCAAUCUAGGGAAUUCGGCAAAUUAGUGGCGUACCUUUGGUAUAAGCCAUGCCUAUUAUCUAUUUUGAAUAAUAGGUCUCAGUGACAAGGAAAACCCGACUGUUUAAUUAAAACUUAGCUGACUGCUAGCCCGAAAGGGUUUGUAUAGUCAGUGAAGCCUGCCCAGUGCCGGUAUCUCAAAUCUGGUUUCAACCAGACGAAGGACCGGUAAACGGCGGCGGUAACCCUGACCGUCUUAGGGAGCGGUCAUAUGAUUCAGAAAUGAUUUUAUGGCCGUCUCUGGGCUUAGGUAGCGUAAUCCCUUGCCGAUUAAACGUCGGCCUGCAUGAAGGUCCAACGAGGUUUUCAGUGUCCCAGAUUGGAACCUAGCGAACUCUCUUUCUGGUGAAUAGGCCAGAGACUUCCAGUGGGAAGAGUAGUCCCUGUGGAGCUUUACUACAGCCUGCUGUUGUAAUAGGCUUUGAACUGUACAGAGUAGAUAGGAGCUUCGGCGAAAGUGUAACACUAUCCUUUUCAAAGCUUAUUGCUUACCUCUUCGGAGGGACACCAGUUGGUGGGUAGUUUGGGUGGGGCGCCACGCCUCUAACAAGACAUCAGAGGCGCCCAAAGAUCAGCUCACCAAGGUCAGAAAUCUUGGGUAGAAUGUAAAUGUAAAAGCUGGUCUGAUUGGAUUCCCCAUAGUAAAGAAUCCAAGCACGAAAGUGUGGAUUAACGAUAUGCAGUUUUGCUUUAAUGGCUGACUGUAACUUCAGAAAAGCUACCCCAGGGAUAAUGGAGCCGUGGCCCCCGAGAGUACAUACGAGGCUUUUCUUUAGAAAAGAAAAACCCUCGAGUCAAAAGAAACUAAGAUAUGUACAAAUCGACGGGGCGCGUUGCUACUCCGUUGUUGGCUUGUCUCCUCCUGGGUGUGCAUAAGCACCCAAGGGUGCAGGGGUUUACUGCUUAAAGAGGCACGUUAGCUGAGUUAAGAACGGCGUGAGCCAGUUCAGUCUAUAUCUGCUGGAAGUGUUUUAAUCUGACUGGAAGGGAGCCACAGUACGAAAGGAACGGGCUCUCGUGGCCUCUGGUGUACCGGUUGUGAUUGCACCGCCGGGUAGCUACGCCAUCGCGGAUAAGAGCUGAAAGCAUCUAAGCUCGAAGCCGCUCAGAAAAAUAGAUUAAUUCGGGCGCUCAUAGAAGAUGAGCUUGAUAGGAGAAGGAUGUAAGU
This 2972-nucleotide ribosomal RNA is filed under the name Candidatus Aenigmatarchaeota archaeon. RNAcentral describes it as "23S ribosomal RNA". It matches the Rfam family "Archaeal large subunit ribosomal RNA". The record is from RNAcentral. Lineage: Archaea; Nanobdellati; Candidatus Aenigmatarchaeota.